AACGGUAGCACAGAGAGCUUGCUCUCGGGUGACGAGUGGCGGACGGGUGAGUAAUGUCUGGGAAACUGCCUGAUGGAGGGGGAUAACUACUGGAAACGGUAGCUAAUACCGCAUAACGUCGCAAGACCAAAGAGGGGGACCUUCGGGCCUCUUGCCAUCAGAUGUGCCCAGAUGGGAUUAGCUAGUAGGUGGGGUAACGGCUCACCUAGGCGACGAUCCCUAGCUGGUCUGAGAGGAUGACCAGCCACACUGGAACUGAGACACGGUCCAGACUCCUACGGGAGGCAGCAGUGGGGAAUAUUGCACAAUGGGCGCAAGCCUGAUGCAGCCAUGCCGCGUGUAUGAAGAAGGCCUUCGGGUUGUAAAGUACUUUCAGCGGGGAGGAAGGUGUUGUGGUUAAUAACCACAGCAAUUGACGUUACCCGCAGAAGAAGCACCGGCUAACUCCGUGCCAGCAGCCGCGGUAAUACGGAGGGUGCAAGCGUUAAUCGGAAUUACUGGGCGUAAAGCGCACGCAGGCGGUCUGUCAAGUCGGAUGUGAAAUCCCCGGGCUCAACCUGGGAACUGCAUUCGAAACUGGCAGGCUAGAGUCUUGUAGAGGGGGGUAGAAUUCCAGGUGUAGCGGUGAAAUGCGUAGAGAUCUGGAGGAAUACCGGUGGCGAAGGCGGCC
Molecule: ribosomal RNA, 670 nt
Filed under: Pantoea agglomerans
Lineage: Bacteria; Pseudomonadati; Pseudomonadota; Gammaproteobacteria; Enterobacterales; Erwiniaceae
Description: bacterial SSU rRNA
Rfam family: Bacterial small subunit ribosomal RNA
Source: RNAcentral